This 107-nucleotide small nuclear RNA is filed under the name Colobus angolensis palliatus. The record is from RNAcentral. Lineage: Eukaryota; Metazoa; Chordata; Mammalia; Primates; Cercopithecidae.
GUGCUCACUUUGGCAGCACAAAUACUAAAAUUGGAACGAUACAGAGAAGAUUAGCAUGGUCAUUGCGCAACGAUGACAUGCAAAUUCGUGAAGCGUUCCAUAUUUUU